RNAcentral lists this ribosomal RNA (1197 nucleotides) under Bacteroides xylanisolvens. RNAcentral describes it as "partial 16S ribosomal RNA". The record is from RNAcentral. Lineage: Bacteria; Pseudomonadati; Bacteroidota; Bacteroidia; Bacteroidales; Bacteroidaceae.
UUACUAGCGAAUCCAGCUUCACGAAGUCGGGUUGCAGACUUCGAUCCGAACUGAGAGAGGUUUUUGGGAUUAGCAUCCUGUCGCCAGGUAGCUGCCUUCUGUACCCCCCAUUGUAACACGUGUGUAGCCCCGGACGUAAGGGCCGUGCUGAUUUGACGUCAUCCCCACCUUCCUCACAUCUUACGACGGCAGUCUCUCUAGAGUCCUCAGCAUGACCUGUUAGUAACUAAAGAUAAGGGUUGCGCUCGUUAUGGCACUUAAGCCGACACCUCACGGCACGAGCUGACGACAACCAUGCAGCACCUUCACAUUUGCCUUGCGGCUAACCUGUUUCCAGAUUAUUCAAAUGCAAUUUAAGCCCGGGUAAGGUUCCUCGCGUAUCAUCGAAUUAAACCACAUGUUCCUCCGCUUGUGCGGGCCCCCGUCAAUUCCUUUGAGUUUCACCGUUGCCGGCGUACUCCCCAGGUGGAAUACUUAAUGCUUUCGCUUGGCCGCUUACUGUAUAUCGCAAACAGCGAGUAUUCAUCGUUUACUGUGUGGACUACCAGGGUAUCUAAUCCUGUUUGAUACCCACACUUUCGAGCAUCAGUGUCAGUUGCAGUCUAGUGAGCUGCCUUCGCAAUCGGAGUUCUUCGUGAUAUCUAAGCAUUUCACCGCUACACCACGAAUUCCGCCCACCUCUACUGUACUCAAGACUGCCAGUUUCAACUGCAAUUUUACGGUUGAGCCGCAAACUUUCACAACUGACUUAACAAUCCACCUACGCUCCCUUUAAACCCAAUAAAUCCGGAUAACGCUCGGAUCCUCCGUAUUACCGCGGCUGCUGGCACGGAGUUAGCCGAUCCUUAUUCAUAUGGUACAUACAAAAUCCCACACGUGGAAUACUUUAUUCCCAUAUAAAAGAAGUUUACAACCCAUAGGGCAGUCAUCCUUCACGCUACUUGGCUGGUUCAGACUCUCGUCCAUUGACCAAUAUUCCUCACUGCUGCCUCCCGUAGGAGUUUGGACCGUGUCUCAGUUCCAAUGUGGGGGACCUUCCUCUCAGAACCCCUAUCCAUCGUAGUCUUGGUGGGCCGUUACCCCGCCAACAAACUAAUGGAACGCAUCCCCAUCGAUAACCGAAAUUCUUUAAUAGUAAAACCAUGCGGUUUUAAUAUACUAUCGGAUAUUAAUCUUUCUUUCGAAAGGCUAUCCCCG